Long non-coding RNA from Manis pentadactyla (Chinese pangolin), 14002 nucleotides. RefSeq lists it as uncharacterized. The transcript is spliced from 3 exons. NCBI's taxonomy places the organism in Eukaryota, Metazoa, Chordata, Mammalia, Pholidota, Manidae. The record is from RefSeq and is a predicted model, not a curated record.
UAUGUAUGACAGCUAUAAGACAUCAGGACCACUUCCUUAAGGGGGUUGAUGCUGAGACUUACAUAAUAAGGUGGGUGCAGGCAGCAAGUAGGUAUACAAUCUGGUUUUCCCUACUCCUUAGGGAUAACUUCCCUGAGGUCCAGUGUCUUUAGGAGAGUGGAGUGGCUACACCAGCCCAUGGAGUCCUCUGUGGAGACCAUCAUAUACAAGAGGUGGUGGUUAUGACUGAGAAGCAGCUUUGAGUCUUUCUGACCAUGUCCUCAAACUGCAACCCUGAUUGCAUUCUGUGCUGUGGUUUGGCAUGGAAACAAAGGUUGGCUUUCUCCAGUUAAUGGAAAACACGGCCACCAGUAACUUCCCAAGCUCACAUAUCCCUGCCUCACAGUGAGAAAGGGUUUGGUAUGUGUUCUUUGUGUUUCCCACGUUCCCUGGGUGAGGGAGAGAUCUGGUUAGCUCCCCUUUCAUCUGGUGUCUAUACCUAUGUGGUCCGGGCAGGGAGACCACCCCCAUGUUGUGGUUACAACUGAGGAAAGUUUUGCACAGAAGAAGGGAAGAGUGUUAGGCCUGGGAAACUAGGGAUGGUCAUAAGGGACAUCUUUGGUGAUUGGGAAUGCUUUCAUGAGUGAACACUGAAUGUUUGUACUUACUAAUUUUGCCUUCUUUUGAAACAUAAACUGAAUCAGCUCUUUCUUCUUUGUUGACCUUUCAGAUACUUAAGUGUAGCUGCUAUGACUGGCCCCGUGGCCUAUAACAGCCAUCUCCUGGCCGAGGUCUCCUGCUGCUGGGUUACCUUGCACCCUCCCUUUCAACUCUCAUAGGGCCCUCUUAGACUCUCCCUGCUUCCUCUUUUUCUUUAGCCUCCUUAAUCCCUGUCCUUCCACCUCACUCUGCCGAGUCCCCAACAUUUCCCUUAAUCAUUGCUCACUGGCCUUGGUGGCUGCAGAUCUGUUACCCAGGAUCUUGUAGGAAUGCAGUCCUUUCAGUGGAAAACAGGUUUGGGAACCUGAUAGAUCUGUUUUGAUUCCACCUCUCCCGCUGAGUAAAAGUGGGACCUUAAGAAAUUGACCUUUUGCAAUGUUGUCGUAAGGAUUACAGACCAAUACCAAGCACCUUGUCUGCAGCUCAGCCUGGCAUAUGAAUUGGCACUCACACCAUAGCUGUGGUAUUGUCUUCAUUAGUAUUAUCUCAGUUCCUGACAUGCCACAGGAAACGGACAUGUGGUUAGAGUCCUGUGCCCAUGGAGAAAAAGAUGAGAUUCCUCUGAUCCUAGAUAAGACAAUCUGAAGAUGUGGCCUGACUGCACAGGCAGGCAAGAAUUGGACUCUGAGACUCAGUUUCUCUCCCCUGCAGGGCUUCGAAUCCAGUCUUAGAGCUUAGGCAUGGGAGGAUAGCAGCUGAUUUUCUCUUGUUUCCUACUUCAGGUCGUAAGCCAGUUGUCUUGAGAGAAAUGAAAGGCCCAUUAUCCCAAGCUAGGGAAUUAGACAGAACUUGAAUUCCAUCUAGGUCAGCUAGCAGAGACCCUGCAGGUAGAAAUGGCUCUUCUCUGGGCUUUCCUGGGUGUGCCAGCUCAGCUUGUUCAACUCAGUUGGCGAGUUACUACUCUGGCUAAAUGUUUUGGCAUCUGUGGCUCUCCAAAUUUUGGCUCUAGCCUACUUAUCCAGUUUCAACUCUCUUUACUUUCCUACUCACCUUCUACCUUUUCAGAAAAGGUCAAUUGACAGUCACCAAAGCCUGCCCUGUGAAGAUGCACCCUGAAAUUUUCCUACAUCAUUAUCUAAGUGGGUGUCUUGCACCAAACUAAAUCCAUCUUUGCCACACUGUGCAUCCAUCCAUCCGUCCACAUCCAUCUGUCCAUCCAUUAAAUAAAUUAAUAUUUAUUCUAUCAUAUUAUUAUUUUUCUUUUCCAGGCUUUAGGGAUCCAGAUGUGAACAACAAGUUCCUGGCCUCAUGGAAUUUACAUCCUAGUGAAAGAAACAGAAAACAAGCACAUAAAUAGAUACUUUGAUGCUUUAACGCUAGAUGUGUUAAGUAUUAUGCUGGAAACUAAAGCAAAGUAAUUAAAUAGGAAAUGAUGUUGGGUGUGCGUAGGGUAGAGAAUUGACUAUGUUAGAAAAGCUCAUUUGGGAUCCUAGAAUCAAUGAUUUGGAGGACUGGGGAAUGGAAGGUCAUCUAGUCCAGAAUACCACUUAAUUCAGGGAUGCCUUUGACAGUAUCUCUGAAAGAUGACUACUCACAGAGAAAAUAAACCAUUGCUCUCAAGAACAUGGGCCUUGGAACUGGAUUAACUGGAAUUUGAAUUCUAGCUCAAUCACUUGUUACCACUUUCUACUAUCUCAGAGAUGAGAUUUUUAAAUGACAUAUAUUCAAUAUUUAUUUAAAAUUAUGUGUAAUACAUACAUAUACAUAUAUAUGUGUGUGUGUGUGUAUAUAUAUAUAUAUUUUUCCUAAUGCCAGUGUUUAUGGGAACUUCAACUUUGCCAAGCUGUCUGACCUGAGAUCAGAUUGGAUUUUUCACUACCUUUUUGUCUAAUGAACCAAAUAAACCUGCCCUUUUUAUUAAGCUUGGCUUUUGUUGAUUAUCUCUUUAAAUCUGAUGUUUUUCUUUUCUCUAUAUGUAUGUCAUUUUUAAUGAGACAAAUACAUGAGACAGUGUUUUCGAGAGGUUUACAGGCAAGAAUAAAACAAGACCAUCAACAACAAUGAGUAGCAGGUUAUCAUGCCAAGAUUCCCUGAAACAGUUGACAUGGCGUGGUGAGCUGUAUACUCAAUUGCACCAAUUGUGUUUAACUGCUUUAAGCUAGAACAAAUGGGCGCGGUAGGAGAAGCUACCUGAUCAUAAUGGCUCAUUUACUGGGCACCCACUGUGUGUGGACACUGAGCUUAACCCUUACAAGGUGUUUAGCUUUUAAUCCUCAUACUGUUCUUAUUCCCAUGUUACAGAAAAAGAAACGGAAACUUACAGAGUUUAAGUAGGUAGCUCAAGAUGAUGUAGCUCAUAACUGUUGGAGCUGCUUGGGUUGAGAACUUUCUUCUUUUUUAUAAAAUAGUUCAUUGAUUCCCAAAGGAAGAAAAUUUUAAUCAUGAGCAUAAGGGGAAAAGAAAAACUGGGGCUAACUGUAUGACCAGACAUUUUCUUCCAGUGCCAAUAACAAUAUUGCCACCACUGCAGGUAGAGACACGAUUAUGGGGAGAGACUUCUUGGACAUGAAAUCUAGCUUUUAUGAUUUAAUCUGCAUGGAUAUCUGAAGGGGCUGUAUAAAAAAGAAGUGGGAAUAAACACAUAGAAGGAGUGACCUGAGGGGCUACAUAAAACCCUCCUGUCCCAGAUUAACUCCUCUUCCCAGUUGUCAUGUCUGAAAUUACUCCAUUAGUGACUAAUAUCCUUGCAUAGUUUUCUAGGUGUCACCUUAACAUGGGCAGUACAGCCAGAGGCUAUCAGAUUUCAUCGAAAUUCUGAGUUUGCUGUUUCACAUUGUCUCACCCCUGUUUCCUACCCUGAGAUAACUUAGUGUCCUCACCGGCCUGUUGCUUCUAUAUUGAGUCUCACUUCAUUGCCCCUCCGUCGGACCUCCAUUCUGUGACUCUGUCCCUCACCCCUUUGUUGUCUAAAGCUGACAGUGGGUGAUAAUCCAUCAGUUGUUAGGUGGAAUCCCUUAGAUAAUGUGAAUUCUCUCUUAGAAAACAGUGCCAUGAUAUUUAAGCAAUAGGCUGAUUCUGUGAGUUUUCAGCAUUUGAAUUGUAGUGUAUGGGGUUAAAGGGCAGUUCAAGGAAGGGGGCAGAGAUUUGUUUAAUUUGCUAGGAGCCUUCCCACAUUCUUAAGUCAUGGUUCCUUCUGUAUGCAUAAAGCUGGUUCUGCUUGUAAAAUGGAAGCUGGCCCUUCAUUUUCUGCCUGACACCUCAUGACAGAUGGAAAUGUCCCAUCCGCUUCUCAUUCUUAUCUCUCAGCAUCCUUCCUCUCUGAACAAAUGAGCAUUCGUGACCCUUACUGAGUCAAUUCCAUUUAAACAGAAGGCCAGAUACACCCCAGUGUAUUCAAUUAUUUUAUAAUCAAUUCCCUUUCCUGCCGAUCUUUCUUCCAAGGGUCAGGGAGCACUUUACAAACUGUCUUGGCAGCAGUCACAAGUCAGAGCACAGUGACCAGCAUCUGAAGACGGUGAUUUAGGAGAGAGUGGAUAUGAAAAGACAAUUUUGAUUUUGAUCAAUGAAUGAUAAUACUUUGUGUGUUAGUUGCAGAGGUGGUGAUGAGAUUAACAAAUAAAUCACUAAUGGAGGAAUUUCAGCCUGUUGGUGUUGGGGACAGUUAGCAGCCCAGCAACUCAUUUCACAGUGUGGACACUUAGUAAAUCUCUACUGAAUGAUUAAUUAUAUAAAUGCAUUCAUUCAAAAUAUUGUGGAGCUCCUGCUGUGUGUCAGAGACUGAACUCAGCCGUGGGGAUACAGAAAUUUGGGUUUGGUGCAAAAGGAUGCAGUAGUGAAUGAAUAUACCACUGUACUUUGCCUUAAAGAUGCUUACAUGAAAGCACAUGAGAUAAAUAAACAUAAUAAAGAUGAUUAGGAAAGGCAAGAGAACAAAUACACCAUGAGGAUGAAACUUACCAAGCAGAGGUUACAAACUGGAAUAUUUAUAAUGGUGUGCUCAGAGUUUUAAAAGUAAAUAUUCUUUUGAGUCAAUAUUGAAAAAUUGUAGAUCACAAAUACACACACAUACCCUCACAGAUGCUCACAUGCACACAUUCCUCAGAUUUUGAGCUUCUUUUGAGUAGUUCAUAUCUGCUAACAUUAGCCUCGGAUUCCCCCUGUAGCAACUAGUUGAAGCCGAGUAGCUUUCUAGGGCGGUCUUUCUCUCAUAAGCUGUGGCUUCCCACCUCCACCCGUUCACAGCAAAGAUAUGUUCGCUUAUACACAAGUGACCUUCUUUUGCAUGUAUGCCUCCUUGCCACUCUAAGCAUUUAAUCUUGAAAAUGCUGCUGUUAGGGUGCAGCGGGCAAUGAAGAAGGAGGGUGUCAGUCCUAUUUUGAGAGGUGUCAGAGAGGAAGUGACUCUUGAGUGUUGUUAAAAGCUGAAAUGUUAAUUAGGUAGAAAAUGGUAGAUGGGCCUUCCAUGCAGAGGGGAUUAGAAAAUGAAAGGCAAGCAAGUGCAUGAACCCUUAGAGGAACUGUAAGGUUUUGCCUGAAGCCUAGUGCUGGGGAAGGGAUGGGAGAGAGAGGGCACGGCCAGCUCAUGCAGGACCUUGCUUGGCAUGCUAAGGGCUUUGUACUCCUUUACAGCCUCUUUGUUUCUGCAACACCCUCUACCCCAAAUCACUAAUACAAUAAAUUACAGUUCUAAAAACAAGUUAAAGAUAUAAAGCCAUUUAGUUACUAAGGCCAGAAUCCUAAACUCAUCCUUGAUUCUUCUGUCUCUACUCCUUCAUGAAUUUAUUAUAAAGUCCUGCCAAUUCCACCUUCUAAAUAUUCCUCGAUUUCCACUCUUUCCUACCUUCAUCCCAUAACACUCUAUGUCUUGUUCACUGCCUUUUUUCCAUGCCCUUCCCUUGGUCCCAGAUGUUUCUCUUCUCCACUCAGGGCUUCCUAUAUGCUGUCUCCCCACCUACAUCUCAGUUUCCUUGGGACAAGCUCCCGCCCACUCCAGGUCCCAGCUUAGUUGUCACUAACUCAGGGUACCUUGCCCUGACCUUGCCCUACUCCCUGUUUCUUCUUGCACGAGAUAAGGUAUCCCUACAUAUGUUCUUGAAACAUCCUGACACUUCUCUGCCUUAGAACUUCUAGCAGUUUUAUUGCCUGUAUAAUUAUCUGCUCAAUUAUAAUAGAGCUCCAAGAGAACAAGGGCAGGUCGUGUUUGUCUUGCCCAUCUCACCUACCCCAAACCAAGCAGUUAGCCCUGUGACUGACACACUGUAUUGGUCACAUUAUCACUGCAGAGUAAUACUUAUAAAAAUAACUAUAGAAAACCAGUGCUUUGCCUAGUAAUAAUACUGAGGACUAAUGACAUGGGACUGGCUGUAUUAAUGAAGGGACCUUGUUUAUUCAUUCCAACAGUAUAUUUUGGAGGCUCAUCAGGUACCUGCUGUCAUUGAGGAUCCAGGGGUAGGGCUCUCCCUGACUUUGUGGAGUACACGUGGAGGAUUCAUGAAGGGAAGAGGAAGGAAAUGAUGAACAGAAGGGAAGGAAGGAGGGAAGGAUAAAAGGAAGGAAAAGAAAGGAGGAAAGAAUGAAAGUUGAAAAGAAAGAAGAAUUAUUAGCCUAAGUAAUGAAAUCAUUUGUUUCCAGUAGAGAGGGCUGACCUUGAAAGACCAAAUGAACUUUCUUUAUACUUCUUCAUUAUGAAAAUAAUCAGUAUAUGGUUGAUGCAAUUGAAAACCUGAAGGUGGAAAUUUCUAUUCACAUCCCUUGAUUGCUAGUAAUUAAUUAGGUGAAAACUUUGAAACUUGGAAAGAACCACACAAGGGGUUUGAUACAAAGACCUAGACAGUCUGUUUACCCAAAGAAGAAACAGAAUCUAGACUCAUGAGGAGUAAGGUAAGUUCACAAAUGGGCACUUAGCAGACAGAAAUCCCAAGACCAGCACAGAGCUUUCCAUACUAAUGUUCAGGCCAACCCAAUAUUGCCACUGCUGAGCCACACCCUAGGGUUUCAGCGCAAAUAUAAAGACAGAAAAGAUAUUUGGCUCCUAACUUCCCCUAAGUCUAUUUCAGUUUUCUUCUUUUUAAACCUUUAUCAACAUAUUUUCACAAGACUUUCAUAAUAACCAAAACACUCAACAGUCAACCACAAGAGCACACCACAAGAUCCUACCAGAGAAAUAGAACAAAGUGCACUAAGUGGAUACAUAGAGGGGCUGUAGUGGUUUAUGUAGAGUAUAUUGAGCCAACUCUUAGAUAUGGAAAAACAAUAAAUUUAAGUAAUCUUAAAAAAAAAGAGUGGGCUUCUCAGUCAGCAGUCUGGACAGGUGCUAACAUACAAUGAAAGGAAUCAUUUAAAACAGCCUCAGUUGCAACUAGAUUCUGCAAACACAUAACGAAGAAAGAGAAUGCAUUUCCUUUCUCUUUUAAUUCUUCCUGCAACCAGUGGACUAUUGAAGGUUUGCCCCAGUUAAUUUAGAAAGUUGGAGAAAACUAGCUAGACAUCAGAUCUGAUGCAGACCUCCUCACCAAUCCCUGGAAGGCUGUUCUCUGCAUUUCUUCAAAUUCUUCAGAUGCAGAAUUUGAAAAAUCAAGCAAACUAGAAGAUUAUAUUAUAACCAACCAAUGUUAGAAAGAAUAAUAUUUUUUUCCUUAUGCUUAUGUAACUAGUAAAAUAGUUAGCCUUUAUUAUUUCCUUUUUGGGUGCCAGCUACUUUACUACCCAUUGCAUAUAUAGUAACUAGCAAGAACAAAAUCACUUCAAGGUUGGUAGUAAUAUUUCUAUUAUUUUUAGAAAAGGCAAUUGAGGCCUAGUGAGAUGCAAAUGACUUGACUUACAAAGUCCCACAGCUGUGAAGUUACCAUGGCUGGGGACUUAAAUGCUUGAGUUUGUCUGCCUCCAAAGCCUGGGCUAUUUCCACUGUAUCAGUCUUCAUGGAACCAGAACACUGCCCUACACAUUGAAAUAAAGACAUAUUAUUAGUGCCAUUCUAGUCUUUUGCUGGGCACUGAACGAUUAACAACAUUGCCCCUGGAAGAAGUUGUCAUAUUUAUUUUUACUUUGGCAUUUUCCGUCUUGCAAUUACAUAGCAAAUUCAAGAACUAACAUAUUUCCCCUUUUCUGGACUUCUCCAAAGUGGGGUCCUGUGGCCUCCUGAUGCAGGAAUUUGGUUUUCCCAGAUAGCAAGUCACCUCACCACCCCCUUCCUCUCUCAUCUUUACCAGUCCUGCUUCAGAAAACAGAUUGUUUGUAUUGAAUUUCCAGACCACAAUUCCCAGACCACGGAAGGAUGAGGACCAAAUUUUUUUUCUUCCAUCAUCUCUAUUUCUGUGGGUAGAUGUAUUUUUAGAGCCAGUUACAAAGGAGGAGAAAAAACCCACUCCCAGACAACUUCCUAAUCUAAUACAGAGAAUGCAGCAUCUUCACGCUCAGCAGAAGGGACAGGAUGUCAACUGUUGCUACAACAGAGCUUUUUUUGAACCGAGUCAGAGUGUAAUUUGUUUGAGAGAAUGCCUGAUUGCAGAGGAGAAAGGAGAGCAAGAAUUUGGGUUAGUUAGAGAAGCCAGUAGUUGUCCUUCAGAAGGCAUCAGUUAAAACUCUGGCAAAUAAGUCCAUUCAAGAUCUCAUCAAACAGAAAAUGCCUAUUAAUGUGUAAAAUGUAUUUUUUGGUGGGGAAGAAAUAGAGGGAGCAAAAAGGAAAAGUAAUUACUUCUUAUUUCUCCACCCAGAGACAGACAUGUUUAAAAAUUGAUAGGUUGUUCUAGAUUAUAUUUGUUUAUAGAUAUACAUGUAUGUGCAUGGGUAUACCUAUAUACAUAUUUUUUAACAAAACUAGGGCCAUACUACAUAUUCUUUAUUUUCACAUGUAUUUUUUUACUUGAAAACACACUAUGGAUAGUCUAUCUGGUAAAAAAAAGUGUUUUUUUUUACAUUAUUUUUCAUUGCUUCAGAGUAUUCCUUGAAUGGGUAUGCAACAGUUAUUGGCUAUAUAUGUUGCUUUCUAUUUACUUAUGACAAACUAACCAUGUUGACAUCCUUGUAGGUAAAAAUCCUAAUCCAAUACUUACCUAAUUUCCUUAGGAAAAAUUAAUAAAAAGGGCAUUAAUGGGCUAAAAGCUCUGUACAUAUUCAAGAUUAAACUGCCCUCAGAAAGGGCUACUGUCUGAAUAUAGAAAAUACCAUUUUCUAAUCUUCACUAAUACUGAAUAUCUAUGAGUAAUAAAAAAUAAUCCUUAAAAGAUGGCCACUUAUUCAUUUUGGUUGGUAUCCUGAAAAAUGUCAAAAUUUAUCUUAAGACUACAAAUUUUAUUUAGGAAAAUAGCUGCUUGACUUUUUUUUAGCUGUGAAAGGCCAGACUUGAGGUUGGCAAACUUUUUCUGCAAAGGUUCAGAUAGUAAAUAUUUUAGGCUUUGUGGGCCAUAAGGUCUCUGUCCCAACUACCCAACUCCGCAGCAGCCUAUGUGGCUGUGUUGCAACAAAACUUUAUAAACACAGGUGGAUUUGACCCACACGGCUGUGGUUUGCCAACCCUUGGGCUAGACCUUUGGGUAUGGUCUUUAAAGACAAGACUGAGAUAAUGACAGAGCAAUAGUACCUUGCGAGAUGGAGUAACUGAUACUUGGGGAGCUCUUGGUAGUAGGGGCCGUGGUUAGAGGGGGCGAAGGCUUGGUGGAGGCAGGAGAGGCUCUGGGGCAGGAGAAGGAAGCUAGGAAGGCUGAAGGAGAAGCCUGCCAAAGAGCAGCGCCCGAUGGUGUGGGUGUCUGAAUAGGCCUGGCUGAGGAAUUUAGUCAUGUCUAAGAUUAAUUUUAACUUGUUUCCUCUUGGCCGCAGGAGACAGGAGUCCCUUGCAUUUUUCUCAAAACUUCCAUGAGAUUUUGCCAUAUUAUGUGCUUUGGAAGAGUGAGGGAAGUGGGAACAGUUCCCUGGGUCGAGUAGGUGGUAGAAUGAACCUGGGCAGGGGCACCAUGGUGAAUGGAAUGCUUGAGAAUUAAUCUGGGAGAAGGAAUAAGACCAAGUGUAGCAAGAGAACAUUAUUCUGCUUCUCUCCUGGUGCCUUCUGAAGUCUGGGGAACACUCUACUUGUCUCGGGCUGUGGGAUGGGGCCGUAUCAUGCAGGGUCCUGCAGGCAACGGAGUGCUGGAGCAGAUACGUGGGCAGGGUUACAGGACAUCCAAGAUGAGGAUGGGCCCCGGGACCAGCAACAGCAGAGCCAUCAGCGCCCCUAGACACGGGGCGGUAGGGGAGAGAGCCACGUCACCAGAGGCUGAUGAGAGCCAGAGCCAGAAGAGAAACCUCCCCUUGCUGGUACCUGUGGCUGUGUGCAGCCAGGAUCAGAACGGACACCUAGGUGGUCAGGGCUGUUAAAAUAAUCACUCAGAUCUCUUUCUUCCCAUCUUUAUUCUCCUGCUUGGGUGCCCAGUGGCAGGACUACAUGGUAUUAGGGGCAAAGAGACUGGGCAGUGAAAUCCACAGAGGUCAGUCUCCCAGGACACCAAGGAGGUUAGAGUAGACUUGGGCCAAUGAGUAGUAGUGGUGAAUGACCAGCCAUUUUAUUUGGAUUAUAAGAGAAAGGACAUCAUCAGAGAAGUGGAAGACCUGGGAUAUCUGGGUUUAAGAAAAUCUGCCAAAUUAUUUAAUGAAAAAUAAUAUUGUGUAAUUUUAAUUCUUUUUUUUUAACAUGCAACAAUACCAGGUGAUUUGGACAUAGAGAUUGGCACAGCAAGUACGCAUGCUGUUUGCGAUUGCUGUUUGCUCUAGUUUGGUUUCAGAAAGCUGAAAUAUGCCCCAGAUUAAUCUGCGUGUGGCAUGUAUUCAGUUUAUUUUGUACAGAAAAAACUCUACCAACACUAUUCAAUUAAAAGGAAAAAGGUAUAUCCAUUGAGUCCUGUGUAAUUACAACAAUAUGUUAUAUUUACUAUUUAAAAAGGAACCUUAAAUUUAUGCCACAUAAAACAUAUUAAGACUAACUGAAAAGUUUAGUUUUGUGUUCUGAAGGAGUGAGAAUGAUCCUUCAUUUUCAGAAGAAUCAGCCUCCAGGGCUGGUGGAGGAGCUGAGACAAAUGACAGCUCAGAAUCACCUUCUUGUGCAGCUCGGGGCACCUGUACAUCCUCCUAUUGUGCAUUGUUAACUUCGAUCUUUGCUUAAAUGGAUCCAUCAGCUUUUAGAGGGAAGUGAGAGGUACUCGUAGAGUAAGAGAUGUAGAUGUGCCUUGCUCCACGGGUUGGUUUAAUCAGCUUCUGUUCCUAAUGAAACCAGAAAUAAAUGGAGAUGAAGACAUGAAUUUCCCCAACACAUUAGCUUUUUGUAGGAAGGAUUCCCCAACCAAAAAAAAGUAAGGUGUUUUUUUUUUUGAGCCCUGUGGUAUGACAGUAGUGUGCUCUGUGCUUUAGUCUGAGACACAUAAUUUUGGAAACAUAUUUAAUCUAUUUCAGCACCACCUGCUAACAGAAUAGUGAUGGCACUCACACAAGCCCCGCCCCUCCCAAAGUGCCUGAGCCCCUAGAAUACCUGCUGUUAAUUGAAUGUUUUAUUCAUAGAUUACAAGAGGGCCUUACUUUAUCAGGAGAUAGGGAAUUGUACUUGCACCUUUGCUGCAAAUCAAACUCCAUUUCCUUUGCUAAUAUACAUCCUUUUAAAACACAGACCUUUGCCUGACCCUUCACUCAGCUUCCCGUUAAUACAGUCUGAUCACUCCUGCUUGCCUUGCAGAUACGCAGCUACAGUGAUGCUGGCCAGGCCUCAGGAACAUUGAUCAAGAAGUCAAGGAAAGGAUGUUGAGCAUGUUUUUGUAAUUACCCCUGUGUUAGGUGCAAUUUCCAGACUCCAGGUGAUAAUGAAACACAGUCAGCCACUCAGGUCACUGUAAGAUCCGUGUCCUUCCAAGAUGAAGCAUCUUUGGGAUUGCCCUCGCAUACCUUGCCCCUACUAAUCAGAGGUUUUCUUGUAGUACAAUUGAACAGGAAGACCCAGAAAAAAAGAAUUUCUGCUUCCAUAGUACAGCCACUAACUCAGAACCCAAGGGUGCCAGAGCAAGUUGCCAACUCCAUACCUUCUUUAAUACAACAGAAAAGCAAGUCUGUUAAUUUAUAUUAGGGUUGUAUUAAUGGAAUGACCAGAAACCCAGCAGGCAGGUAAGAACAUUUUAGACUUUACCUCUCUUCCAAGAAUAGCUAGAGUUUUGAUAGUUAUCACAAAGAAUGAAUGGUUCUAUUGUCCAGACAUCUGCUUGUAGUUUUUGGCCUUUUCUUUAGGAGUUGUUGUUCCAAGCACUUGCAUGUGCAUACGAAUGACUUAAGAAUUUUGUAUAUACUUUGAGAAAUUUUUCAGCCAUAAUUUUGGUCCUUCAGGAUUUUUGCCUAAUAUUUUAGAAUGCCAGCCCCUGCCGUCUGCCGAAGAUAAGCUUUCACCCUUGUUCAGCAGAGUGAUUCUGUAUCACGGCUGUGCAUACAUUUGGGUCUCUAGUACCCGGAUAAGUAACUAUUGACUGUUCUCUUAGUCUGUUCAGGCUGCCGUAACAAGAAACCAUAAACUAGGUGGCUUAUAAACAACAAACAUUUAUUUCUCCCAGUUCUAGAAGCUGAGAAGCCCAAGAUCAAAAUGCUGGUAUAUUCUGCGUCUCCUGAGAGGCUACAUCCUGGUUCACACCAGUGUUUUCACUGUGUCCUCACAGAGCACAGGGGACAAGGGAGCUUUCUUGGUCUUCUUUUGUAAGAGCGCUAAUCUUAUUCAUGAGGGCAGAGCACCUUCCAAAGGUCCCACCUCCUAAUAUCAUCGCCUUGGGGGUUAGAAAUUCAACGUACGAAUUUGAAAGGGACACAAACAUUCAGUCCAUAGCAAUUGUAAAAAACGAAAACAACAGGUUUUUUAGUGGUUUCUUUUUUUUUCUUUAAUUUGGUAUCAUUACUGUACAAUUACAUGAGCAACAUAUGGUUACUAGACUCUCCCCAUUAUCAAGUCCCCAUCACAUACCCCAAUAUAGUCACUGUCCAUCAGCGUAGUAAGACGCUAUAGAAUCACUACGUGUCUUCUCUGUGCUAUACAGCCUUUCCUGUGCCCCCAUCCCUACUUUAUGUGUGCUAAUUGUAAUGCCCCUUUUCCCCCUUAUCUCUCCCUUCUCACCCAUCCUCCCCAGUCCCCUUCCCUUUGGUAACUGUUAGUCCAUUCUUGGGUUCUGUGAGUCUGCUGCUGUUUUGUUCCUUCAGUUUUUUCUUUGUUCUUAUCCUCCACAGAUGAGUGAAAUCAUUUGGCACUUGUCUUUCUCCACCUGGUUUAUUUCACUGAGCAUAAUACCCUCUAGCUCCAUCCAUGUUAGUCGUUCCUUUUCAAACCACUUUAAUUACAGUAUUUAAUGGUUAUAGCCCAUAAUAAGUAUGACAUCUAUGAUGUGGAGACCAAAAACAAAACAAAUUGUUUGCUAGGCUCACCUUUGUGCCUGCCUUGGGUGGUGCCUUUAGGAUACAACUUCCUUGCUCCUUCCACGCUUUUCUGGGACCCUGGGGAUAGCCGGCUCUCCAUGAGAAUGGCUCCGCAGCCCUUCUCUGCGGUUGUCCUUUUUCCCUAAAUGCACUGCUUUGCCUUGGGGAAGAGGCAGCCCCUCUGACAAGCCCCUGCAGGGCCUCAAGAGAGCUUCCUGUAGUUCACCCCCAUCUCACUUUACAUUCUGUCCCAUGUCUUAUUUUUUGUGCACUUGAAAAUCUCUCCACAUCCCCUCUUCUCAUUUGUUAUUACAAGUCUGAGGCUUGGCAUAGGGCUGAUCGCUGGGGCUCACUAUUUGUUUUCCUUGUUGACCACCCACAAGAUGUGAGUUGAUCUGUCCUCCCUCCCUUUUGCAAGAGCGACUAGAGAGCCCUCACUUGGUUUUGAGAAAUUCAUGCUGUGUUUGGGGCCUCCUCUGACGUUUUUACGGGGUUCCACUUCUAAAAAUACCUAUCAGUCUGAUAAUUUCUAGAAAGAGGAAGGAAAUUUCUUACUGAGAGGUAAAUAAUAAUUUCUGGUCUUUGAGGGGAUCAUUUAAAGCUCCUAAAUGAAACAGCCUAAUGAAAUGCCACCCAUGUGGCUUGAAAUAGUUAACAAAUGUCUAAAAGGUGCGGAAUUACUCUAGGAGUAAAGUAUGCCUAGGAGUCCUGCAGCUGGAGCAGGAUGCUAAAGGGCUGUCCUGUCUAUCAAUCCCUCUGCCUCUUAGUAAAAUAAAUGGCCUCAGGUAAGUGUGAUGGUUUCAGUUGAAGCCAUUCUCAGGAAAAUGUGAGCCUGUUGCCUCUCUCAAUAAUUUAUCCCUUACUCAAUAAUUGUUGGUUGGUACAUUUUCCUUACAUCUCAUGAAAAUCCUUUCUAUUGCUUUUCAAACCAAUGCAAUACAAUGCCCAGGAGAAGUAGAAAAAUG